CGUCCACAAGUUCAGAGCCAUGCUGGGGAAGAACCGGCUCAUCUUUCCAGGAGAGAAGGUGCUCUUGGCGUGGUCUGGGGGGCCUUCGUCCAGCUCCAUGGUCUGGCAGGUUCUUGAGGGCCUGAGCCAAGAUUCUGCCAAAAGACUGCGCUUUGUGGCAGGGGUCAUCUUUGUUGACGAGGGAGCAGCCUGUGGCCAGAGCCUAGAGGAGAGAUCAAAGACCCUGGCCGAAGUGAAGCCCAUUCUGCAAGCAACUGGGUUCCCAUGGCACGUGGUGGCCUUGGAGGAGGUGUUCAGCCUGCCACCGUCGGUGCUUUGGUGCUCUGCCCAGGAGCCGGUGGGAUCCGAGAGGGCCUACAAGGCGGCCGUGGACAGCUUCCUCCAGCAGCAGCAUGUGCUGGGGGCCAGGGGUGGUCCUGGCCCGACUCAAGGGGAGGAACAGCCACCCCAGCCCCCACUGGACCCCCGGAGCCUGGCAAGACUGCCUGCCGCUGCCCAGACUGAGGCUCUUUCCCAACUGUUCUGCUCAGUGAGGACACUGACGGCCAAGGAGGAGCUUCUGCAGACCCUGCGGACCCACCUGAUCCUGCACAUGGCCCGAGCCCACGGCUACUCCAAGGUCAUGACUGGGGACAGCUGCACACGCUUGGCCAUCAAGCUCAUGACCAACCUGGCGCUGGGUCGAGGGGCCUUCCUGGCCUGGGAUACGGGCUUCUCGGAUGAGCGGCACGGGGAUGUGGUGGUGGUGCGACCCAUGCGGGACCACACCCUGAAGGAGGUCGCUUUCUACAAUCGCCUGUUCUCCGUUCCUUCUGUCUUCACACCAGCCGUCGACACCAAGGCCCCUGAAAAGGCCAGCAUUCACCGGCUGAUGGAGGCCUUCAUCCUCAGGCUGCAGACCCAGUUCCCCUCCACUGUCAGCACUGUGUACAGGACAAGUGAGAAGCUGGUGAAGGCCCCCCGGGAUGGCCCUGCUGCCGGCGACUCCAGCCCCCGCUGCCUCCUCUGCAUGUGUGCCCUGGACAUCGACGCCGCUGGUCUGUGUUUCAUGCUUUUGGGGUGAUGGGGGGAGGGAGCCAGGGAGUGGGCGUGGGGGCUCAGCAGCCCCAGGCUCCCUCAGUUCCUCUCUGCUUGCAGACAGUGCCACGGCUUUUGGGGCUCAGACCUCUUCACGUCUCUCCCAGAUGCAGUUGCCCAUCCCCCUGACUGAGACCCGGACACCCCCGGGGCCCUGCUGUUCUCCAGGGGUGGGCCGGGCCCAGGGCUGUGGCCAGGGGGCCUGCAGGAGGGAGGACCCCCAAGCCUGCAUUGAGGAGCAGCUGUGCUACAGCUGCCGUGUGAACAUGAAGGACUUGCCCUCACUGGACCCCCUGCCACCGUACAUCCUGGCCGAGGCCCAGCUCCGCACACAGAGGUACCGGGGCCCACACUGCUGUGGCGCGUGGGGCAGGGGCCUCGGGGCUGGUGCCCACUGCAGCUUUCUCUCUAGGGCCUGGGUCUUGCAGGAGAUCCGGGACUGUCUGAUUGAGGACAGUGACAACGAGGUGGGCCAGAGCUGAGCGUGAGGACGUGCUUGCCAAGACAGCAGGCGGUGGCCACCUGGUCCACCACACUGGAGCCGGAAGGCAAGGAUGGGGGACUGGCCUCUGAUUGUCCAUUUGUAUAAAUAAAACAUUUUUAAUUAAAAAAA
RNAcentral lists this small RNA (1690 nucleotides) under Pongo abelii (Sumatran orangutan). RNAcentral describes it as "retained intron". Lineage: Eukaryota; Metazoa; Chordata; Mammalia; Primates; Hominidae. The record is from RNAcentral.